This 253-nucleotide ribosomal RNA is filed under the name uncultured bacterium. Its description in RNAcentral is "partial 16S ribosomal RNA". It matches the Rfam family "Bacterial small subunit ribosomal RNA", at positions 524 to 776 of the family's 1533-position model. The record is from RNAcentral.
UACAGAGGGUGCAAACGUUGCUCGGAAUUAUUGGGCGUAAAGAGCUCGUAGGCGGCCUGUCGCGUCUGCUGUGAAAUCCCGGGGCUUAACCCCGGGCGUGCAGUGGAUACGGGCUGGCUGGAGGCAGGCAGGGGAGAACGGAAUUCCCGGUGUAGCGGUGAAAUGCGCAGAUAUCGGGAGGAACACCGGUGGCGAAGGCGGUUCUCUGGGCCUGUACUGACGCUGAGGAGCGAAAGCGUGGGGAGCGAACAGG